UACGAAGGGGGCUAGCGUUGUUCGGAAUUACUGGGCGUAAAGCGCACGUAGGCGGAUACUUAAGUCAGGGGUGAAAUCCCGGGGCUCAACCCCGGAACUGCCUUUGAUACUGGGUAUCUCGAGUCCGGAAGAGGUGAGUGGAAUUCCGAGUGUAGAGGUGAAAUUCGUAGAUAUUCGGAGGAACACCAGUGGCGAAGGCGGCUCACUGGUCCGGUACUGACGCUGAGGUGCGAAAGCGUGGGGAGCAAACAGG
RNAcentral lists this ribosomal RNA (253 nucleotides) under uncultured bacterium. RNAcentral's name for it is "partial 16S ribosomal RNA". It matches the Rfam family "Bacterial small subunit ribosomal RNA", at positions 524 to 776 of the family's 1533-position model. RNAcentral also lists the same sequence under 2 other names. The record is from RNAcentral.